Molecule: long non-coding RNA, 390 nt
Organism: Drosophila sechellia
Lineage: Eukaryota; Metazoa; Arthropoda; Insecta; Diptera; Drosophilidae
Exons: 2
Source: RefSeq, a predicted model, not a curated record
AUUCAGGGGCGACAUCUCCGAGUAGGCACGGCCCACCAGCUGAAGUUUGGGCGUGCGCCGCAUGGUUAUGGCGAUUACAAACGGUUAAUGGUUCACAUAAAACUGGGCAUCUUCGGGAGGAAUCGGGUGAUUUAUACGAUCAACAUAUAUUAUAUUCAGUUUGUCUAGGCAAAUUAGCGAAUGCCGCGAUUGCAAUCUAUUUCAAAUAUUAUGGAAAACACAGCGAUUACGAUUAGAGGAGCGCACGCGGCGCGCUCUGCUGGAAAACUAAAUGGAAUUGGAAUUGGAGGCAAAAUCGCUGGCGCAGAAAGAGAAUCGUCAAUCGCUCUCCUGGCUCUCCUUUGUUUUAUUUCGCCUUAUUUUUUUUUUUUUUUUUUUUUUUUUUUUUUU